RNAcentral lists this transfer RNA (71 nucleotides) under Planctomycetota bacterium. RNAcentral describes it as "tRNA-Gly". It matches the Rfam family "tRNA". Rfam says of the family: Transfer RNA (tRNA) molecules are approximately 80 nucleotides in length. Lineage: Bacteria; Pseudomonadati; Planctomycetota. The record is from RNAcentral. RNAcentral also lists the same sequence under 1 other name.
GCGGGCGUAGCUCAAUGGCAGAGCAUCGGCCUUCCAAGCCGACUAUGUGGGUUCGAUCCCCAUCGCCCGCU